GACGAACCGUGCGAACGUUGUUCGGAAUCACUGGGCUUAAAGGGCGCGUAGGCGGGCUGCCAAGUCAGGGGUGAAAGCCCACGGCUCAACCGUGGAAGUGCCUUUGAUACUGGCGGUCUCGAGGGAAGUAGGGGCGUGCGGAACUUCCGGUGGAGCGGUGAAAUGCGUAGAUAUCGGAAGGAACACCGGUGGCGAAAGCGGCGACGCUGGACUUCGUA
This 218-nucleotide ribosomal RNA is filed under the name uncultured bacterium. RNAcentral's name for it is "partial 16S ribosomal RNA". It matches the Rfam family "Bacterial small subunit ribosomal RNA", at positions 524 to 740 of the family's 1533-position model. The record is from RNAcentral.